AGGGCACCACCAGGAGUGGAGCCUGCGGCUUAAUUUGACUCAACACGGGGAAACUCACCCGGCCCGGACACCGGAAGGAUUGACAGAUUGAUAGCUCUUUCUUGAUUCGGUGGAUGGUGGUGCAUGGCCGUUCUUAGUUGGUGGAGCGAUCUGUCUGGUUAAUUCCGAUAACGAACGAGACUCUAGCCUAUUAAAUAGACGUCGGGUUCUCUGCACUCGACGGUCUUCUUAGAGGGACAAGGUGCUUUUAGCACCGCGAAACAGAGCAAUAACAGGUCUGUGAUGCCCUUAGAUGUCCGGGGCCGCACGCGCGCUACACUGAAGGAAGCAGCGUGUAACAACCUUGUUCUAACGAACUGGGUAACCCGUGGAACUUCCUUCAUGAUUGGGAUAGGGGUUUGCAAUUGUGCCCCUUGAACGAGGAAUUCCCAGUAAACACUAGUCAUCAGCUAGUGCUGAUUACGUCCCUGCCCUUUGUACACACCGCCCGUCGCUACUACCAAUUGAAUGGUUCAGUGA
Molecule: ribosomal RNA, 519 nt
Filed under: uncultured eukaryote
Lineage: Eukaryota
Description: SSU rRNA
Rfam family: Eukaryotic small subunit ribosomal RNA
Source: RNAcentral